AGCUCAUCAACUAGCACUUCUGGUUCCCCUACUUUGAACCGCACAAUUCUUUGUCAGGUUAUGACUGUCGACACCACAGGAUCAGAACUGCCAGAGUGAUCCUCCAGAAACACGAGCCGGAUCCUGCCGUGCCCCUGCUCUGAAACUUUAAUGGGUCCCCACUGUCUGUAGGGGAGCAUCUAAACAUGAGAGUAUGACGUUCAAGUACUACCUAAUUUUCAGGCCUCAUUUCCUACCUCCUUCUUUCCAAAUGUCCAUUUGGAUUGUAACAGGGCUAUUUAACAUUCUCCUAGGCCUACCAGAAAAUAUCAUAAUGGUCUCCAUGCUUUCAUCUUCUUUCUCAAUUUCCCUUACAACCUAUAAACAUGUCACUCAUCGCUAAAGAUUCAAUUCAAAGAUCCAGUUGUCUAUCAAAGUUUGCUUGCUUUCCCCAGUCAGAAACCCCUCACCCCUUCCUUGCAGGGCCAGAACAAAGAUCCUUAGUACCAGGAUUUCCUGUCUUGAAUGCUGGGCAACGGUCCCUGUCUGCCCACCCACACAACUGCGAGCUCUUGAGGAUGGAGCCCUGCCAUGAUUCAUGCUCUACUCUCACGACAGUGAUGCAGGACGAUGUGUUAGCAGUUUCCUCUAAGACAGCAGACUUGGCCUGAAUAAAUAAAUAAAACUAUUCAAAAUAAGAUGAAGUAUUUAGACUCUUCUCCUAAUAAUGUCAUUCUCACACCUUUCCUAGCUCUCUUGAGUAGAAAAGGGUCAAGUUCAAGUUAGGAUGUGAGGAAUGAUGCAUAUCCAUGAGCUCUCUCACGGAUGUGUGUCUUGUGUAUUUUCGGAGAAAAAUAAAAAGCAUUGAGAAAUGCCACUCUCAGGGUUCCCAUCAUGGCACAGCAGAAACGUAUCUGACCAGGAACCAUGAGAUUACGGGUUCCAUCCCUGGCCUUGCUCAGUGGGCCAGGGAUCGGAUCUGCAACCUCAUGGUUCCUAGUCAGAUUCUUUUCUGCUGUGCCACGAUAGGAACACUUUUUUUUUCCAAGGCCAUAGGUGCCACAUGUGGAAGUUCUCAGGCUAGGGGUUGAAUUGGAGCUGCAGCUGCAGACCUACGCCACAGCCACAGCAAUGCUGGAUCCGAGCCUCAUCUGCAAUCUACACCACAGCUCAUGGCAAUGCCAGAUCCUUAACCCACUGAGAGAGGUCAGGAAUCCAACCUGCAUCCUCUUGGAUACUAGUUGGAUUCGUUUCCACUGAGCCACAACAGAAACUGUCCACACUGUCAUUUUGAAAUUAAAAGAGGUAUUUCCCAUUGUGGCUCAGCAUAAACAAAUCCAACUAGUGUCCACGAGGGUAUGGGUUUGAUCACUGGCCGCGCUUAGUGGGUGGGGGAUUUGGCAUCACUGUGAGCUGUGGUGUAGGCUGCAGAGCUGGAUCCCGAAUUGCUGUGGCUGGGGUGUAGGCUAGCAACUGCAGCUCUGAUUUGACCCCUAGCCUGGGAACUUCCAUAUGCCAUGGGUGCGGCCCUAAAAAGCCAAAAAAAAAAAAAAAAAACAGAGAGAGAGAGCCAAUGACCAAACGCCUUUCACUCACUGAAGGCUUUCUAUGAACCAAGCAUUUGGGGGGGGGAGGGGCUGGAAGGGUUAAAAUUUUAUGACAACACUAGAAUCUUUAACCCCCUGCACUGUGCCAGGGAUUAAAUUGGCACCUGCACAGUGACCUGAGCCAUUGCAGUCAGAUUCUUAACCCACUGUGCCACAGCGGGAACUCCAGAUCAGGUGUUUUUUCAAGUGCAUCAUCUAAGUUUUAGUAUCCCUACAAAAUAAGCAGUCGCAUCCCUAUUUUACAGAUAAAGAGAACCUCAGAGAGGCUAAUGCAUGUCCCCAUGCGUAAUGGCCAGGAAGUUACAGAGUCAAGAUUGCAACUCAGGAACGCCUGACACCAAGGCCCAUGGAUUUUUCUCCUAUGACCCCAGUCUUAGUCCUGUUGGGCUGCUCCAACAAAAUACCACAGACUGAACAGCUCAUAGACCACACAUUUUUCACAGUCCUGAAGGCUGGAAGUCCCCGAUCAGGGUGCAAGUGUGGUUGGGAGGGCCCCUCUUCAGGGCCGCAGACUUCUCAUGUCUACACAUGGUGGAAGGGGCUAGGGAGCUUUCUGGAGCCCCUUUUAUAAGGGCACCGAUCCUAUUCGUGAUGGGGAACCAUCUUGACUUAAGCAUCUCCCAAAGGCCCCACCAUUAAUACCAUUAACUUUGGAGGUUAUAAUUUCAACAUAUGAAUUGGGGAGACACAACCAUUCAGACCAUAGCAUCCUCUAAACCUCUAAGGGCCCAGAUCUUACAUUCAUAACCUCUGUGAUCCUACAAAACCCAAGAGUCUUGGUGAAAGUUAAAAAAAAAAGGCAGCAGUUAGGGAAGUACCUCCUUUGUCUGAGCAAGGCACCUUCAUAGCUUUUUUCCAUCCUCUACUCACAGCCAAGUUUCUUCUCCCCAGAGCAGUACUUUACCCAAAAAUAACUUCAUGACAGGCUAAAAUAGAAAAAGGAGUACAGAUAAAAUGUGGCAAGUUGCCCAAAAGGAUUUCCUGCUGGACGCAAACUCUCCAAGGCAGUGAAUUUUCCUUCAGGUAAAAUACAAAAACGUGUAAAGUUAAGGAAAAGAGGGGGGGAACAGGGUGGGAGGCCUGCUUUGCUGCACCACACAGGCCCAGGUAAGUACUACCUGCUCUUGAAUAAGAACAUCACCGUUUUUGCUAAGCAGUUUUCCCCUAGUCAACCAAAAAGUAUCAAUCCUCUUGAUAAUCUGUAUGGAAGAAAAUAAAAUUGCCUAGAAGGCCAUCAGAGCAGUGGCUGCCCUGGAGGUCCACACCUGCCAGAAUGAAGACCUCAUCCCAUCCUUUGUAUAUUCCUUUUUUUUUUUUAGGGCCGCACCUAUGGCCCGUGGAGGCUCCCAGGCUAGGGGUUGAAUCAGAGCUGUAGAUGCCAGCCUAUACCAGAGCCACAGCAAUGCUGGAUUCAAGCCGCGUCUGCAACCCACACCACAGCCCGCGGCAACACCAGAGCCUCAACCCACCAAGCGAGGCCAGGGAUUGAACCCGCAACCCCAUGGCUCCUAGUCAGAUUCAUUAACCACUGGGCCACGAUGGGAACUCCACUCCCUUGUAUAUUCUUACAGCCAACAGUGGCUGAACACCUACAAUGCAAAAAGCAUCUGCUAGAGGCUGAGAAUAAAGAUGAAAAUAAUUUGCAACUCCUUCCCCAGAUAGUUCACUCCAGCCCGGAAGUCAGACAAGCAAGCAUACAGUUAACUAUAGCUGGAUAAAUCAUAAAUGAAGGGAUUGUGGAAAAAGAGUUGAAACAAGAAGGAAACACCCAACACAGUGUGGGGAAAGGGCUUCUUAAGCUGAGUUUGAAAUAACAAGUAGGUGUUUAUCAGAGGUGUGAGAACCAGGAAAAUAUCUCUAGCAGGGAGAACAGGGUGUGCAAGGAUAUGCAAAUCAGGAUAUGCAAAUCAGGAACCAGGGAGAAAAUGACUCCAAAUGUGAAAGGAUGGGGUGGGGGGGAGGUCAGAUCCGUUAGGUGAACAGAGGGUAAAAUUGUACACUUCAGCUUCCCCUUAUGGGUCAGCAGGUUAAAAACCUGAUGCAGUGUCCAUGAGAAUAUGGGUUCAAUCCCUGGCCUUGUUCAGUGGGUGAAGAAUCUGGCAUUGCCACAAGUUGUAGUGCAGGUCGUGAAUGCAGCUUGGACCUGGCAUGGCUGUGGCUGAGGCUGAGGCUGUGGCUGUGGCUGUGUUGUAGGCUGGCAGUGGCAGCUCCGAUUUGACCCCUCGUCUGGGAACUUCCAUAUGCCGCAGGUGUGGCCGUAAAAAGACAAAAAAAACAUCAGUACUUUGCUGCCCAUUCCCAUGUUAACCAGUGACACACUUAAGAGGGCAUGCGUGGGAAGGGAAAUUCUUAUAAGCUCAGAGAGACAAACUAUACACCACAUUGUGUGAGGGAUCCAGGGAUGUGCAUUAUCCCUGGAUCUCUUCCGUGUAUGUGAGGGGCUGAUUCUUGGUAGGUAUUUGCCUAACGAUAUGUGUGAGUCCACCACAGCCUGGUCAGAGAGAAAUGUGAGGGACAUGCUACACUGAAUCUAUCUCCCAAACAAAGCCGUCCAUAGUGGGAUGGGGAAGCAAGUCUGAACAAUGCCAUGGCCAACUGCCCCAUCAGGCAUGAGACUUCCUCUUUCAGAGCUCCUGGCUCUUCUAAGUACUACCCAGGCACCUCAGGAAAUGGAUGAAAAUCUCUGCCUCUCAGUAUCCUCAUCUGUAACAUGGGCAGAAUGAUGCUUAUGGCACAGAGUUAAUAUGACAGGGUUAUAUUAAUGUCUGUUACAGUAUCUGAUGUUUCCUUGUUAUAUUUAUUAGUUUCCAUUCUCUUGUCCUUCAUAAAUCAACAGUCACAACAAUGGUCAUGAAAGACACCACUGCCAAUUUCUCCUAUUAUUUUUAACAAAUGAUCCACAGCAUAUGUGCCAUAGAUUGAAGAUUUAAAAGCACAUUAACUUCUGUUGGCUGAUGUGGUGAUCUCAGUAACCUUCACAGUUAGAUAAGAGGAGUGAUGUCAGGGAUACAGUGAGGAAGCACGUGACCUGCCCAGAUUCAUAUGGUUGUCACGUGACAGAAGGUAAGCUCACAGGCUCAUUCUUUAUCUCCAAAGCCCAGUUCCUUUAACUGCACAGCAUUGCAUCUGUGAGUACUUGUCUAGAAAAACCAAGAACACUAAUGUGGCAGCCAUCAGCAACAAAGCUCACUUUACUAAAUGUAAUAUCAGUAAGGGGCCCUUGUGAGUUAUAGAAGCUUCUCCUGUGGCAUAACAAGUAUCUUUGCCAAAGUUCAUGGGUUCGGCUAAAGAUUUGAAAGACAAAGACCAGGUCUUAUUAGUGCCUCCAGCCUCAAGUGUUUGCUGCCAUCCUGUCAUACCAGACAAACUCAAUACCUUUUUGCUGGAUGAAUGGAUGGAUUUUGUAGGCAGUUAAUGAUUUACAAACUAUUUCUACAUCCUUCGUCUUACUUGAUUUUUUCCAAAGCUCUGGAACAUAAAGAAAAGCUGAUAUCAUUUUCUACAUUUAACACAUGAUGAUAUGCAGGUCACACCCAGGUUGCUGUUUUUGUCUUUCUUUGAAGGAUUACAAUGGAUUCAUGCUCCCUCCUGGAGCAGAACCCAGCUGAAUCCCACAUGCAGCUGUUGCCCUGCCACACAAGGCUGCUUAAAAGCCAGGACAGACACUGUUUUGUUAUUAUCUCUCAUAUCUUUCAAAAUACAUUAAAUUCUGAAAAUCUCUGUGAUAAUUAAACUAAAAAAAAAAAAAAAAAGAGCUGAAGCUGAACCAUUCAACCUAGAAUAACUAUUACAUUCCUAUUCUUUCCCUUUCUCACCUCCUUUUGGUCUCCAUUGUCUAUAGCAUGGGGUAUUCUUCUUCCUCCACAAAAAGAAUCCACUUCCUACAGAAUAGAGUUGUCAGAAUUGUGUGAACCUUGCUUUCUGUGUUAACCCUUCUGUUGGGUUUUAUAGCACACAUUUUUCCUGAAUGGUUUCCACCAUCAGUCUCAGCACUCUGAGAGCUCAUCCCAAAAGUGGUUUUGCUUUUUAGGGCCACAUCUGCAGCACAUGGAAGUUUCCAGGCUAGAGGUUGAAUUGGAGCUGCAGCUGCUGUACCUUAGCCACAGCAACUAUACCUUAGCCACAGCAACUCAGGAUCCAAACACAUCUGUGACCUACACCACAGCUCAUGGCAAUGCUGGAUCUUUAACCCACUGAGUGAGGCCAGGGAUUGAAUCCGUAUCCUCAUGGAUCCUAGUCAGGUUCUUGACCCACUGACCUCAAUAGGAACUCCAAAAGUGGAGUCUUAUGAUGCCACAGCCUUAUACCAGGUCCACUGGAGUCACCCAACAAAGCUGCACAGAUUGCUUAAUGUGGUUCUCAGGGUAUCCCAAAUCCAUAUCCUACUUAUCUUUGCAGCCCAUCUCCCACAUUUCCUCUCCAUAGGCUCUGCACUCUACCAGACCAAGAUAGUCAAAGACCCCCUAAAUAACUUCUCUGCAUUUCCACACACCAUCCCCGUCCCAUCACCACUACCAAGGAUGAAGCCUCCACUUCUAAAACCCCUCCGCAUCCUUCAAGGGCUUUCCCUUGAAACCAUCCCUCAUUUCCUUCAGCAAGUCACUCAACAAACAUUUUUUAAAAAAACUCCUUUACGCCCUAAAAAAGUUAUUCUUGAGGAGCUUAAUAUUUACCGAGCAAAAGAGACUCAGCGAAGAGAAACUCAACUCAUGAGGAUGCUGUAAUGAUAGCAUUGCAAAGCAAUGGGUCAGCCGCUGGAGAGAAUGUGGGAGGCUCCAUCCAGACCUUGCUGAGACUGCUAG
This 6388-nucleotide long non-coding RNA is filed under the name Sus scrofa (pig). RNAcentral's name for it is "lncRNA (ENSSSCG00065053154.1)". The record is from RNAcentral. Lineage: Eukaryota; Metazoa; Chordata; Mammalia; Artiodactyla; Suidae.